GGGAAUUGUGUGUGCACAUCCAUCCACAAGCACACACACUCAUGCUCAGGCACACUGGCACCACCUGCUUUCCUUGCUUCUUCAGGUGAGUGUUGGAGUCCCUCUCAUUGCUGGGCCCCACCGAAAGGAGAAACAAGAUACCAGCGAGGGCUGGGGUGUCUGCUCCUGGGUGUGGCUGGCCCCAAAGCCCAGCAGGCUGUAAGGGCAGCAAUUAGGCAAAGCCUCUGGGCUGCAGCGGGAGGGAGGAGGAGGAUUAUGGCAAAUUCAUUUCUAUUUUCCAGCCCACUAAGCCUGCAGUGUGUCCCCGUGUUAGCAUGAGAAUGGGCCGGGGCUCUGUGAACCCCCCCACUCCGACCUACUGACCCCUCUCCCCCCACGUGAAUAUCAGGACUCUCAGCCUUCCCGGCCUCUCCAACCAGUGCCUGCAAAGCCACGACUCCUAAUCAGGGUAAUUUAAUAUAUUUUAAGCCCCUGGCGGCUUUAUUUUCCCUCCUUUUGGAGUUUGUUUUAGGCAUUCACAGCUCUCACCCCAUCAUUAGAUGGCCUUAUUUGACGGAUGGAAGGGGCUGCUAUGAGACCACAGCCCUUUGUGUCCCCCACAUAAGCUGGGCUUCCCGUAAUUAGAAUGGUAUUCCCAGCCAUUGAGGCCUUUCAUGAGGCGGAACAAAAACUCCCCGAGAUGAAUAUCCCCCAACUCUCAACCCCCUGGCCAGAAAAGGGCUGUGAGUUAAAGGGACUCCUUAGGGAAGGCAGUCUGUGACCAAGGACAGCUGAGGUCCUGCCAGGGCCAGGAAUUUAGAGGUCAUGGGGAGUGGGCACCGGACAAAGACUGGUUGUGGCUGCUGGUAAGCACCAGUCACCUACACACACCUCCCCAGAUGCUUAGCCAGCCUCAUGGACUUUGGGCCUCAACCCUUGUGGCCAGGGGAUCUGCCUGUGCCUGUGAGGCUGGGGGCAGAGUGGAGGGUUCCUGUGAACUCAGAGUUACCCAGACCCUCACUCCAGAGGACUUUGUGGCUAAACACAGAAACACAAAUCAGACAUAGUUGAUCACACACAAACAGGCUUGGUAUUACACUGCAGACAUAUGCACACCUGUGUACACACGGACACACACAUGCGCAGCAGCAAGAUCACAGUGUUGCAGGAAGAGCCACACACUGCCACCCAGACAUAAAGCCCAACUGUAGUCUGUGGUUGUAUCCAUGCAGAUCCACAUGCACACAGGCCACCCAGACUUGUUUGCUUGUGAGCACACAUAUUCCUGCAUACAUGUACAACCCCAGUCAUGCUGUCCCCAGUUCUUCUGCACAGACUAUGUCACCCUCUCCCCCCAGGACACAGACUUCCUCUAGCCUCCAUCCUGGAUCCAUGCAUAGCCUGUGUCCAAAUCCAGAGAUGUAUGUGCACACACACGUGGACGUGUGCAUGCUCUCUGCCUCACAUGAACACAGGUAAAUACUAUGGAGCCAAUAUGCCAUUGCCUUACCAGGGUAGAAACUUGUGACAAACACACAGAAGGGCUCCAGCGAGGAGCUCCUAGCCAGCUAUACAUGGUGUUGGGAACUCAUCCCGCCCCCCCUAGGUGGACUGGACUCUCCUCCUCCUCUGGAAUUCAGGUGGUCUCUCAUACCCUUUGGGAAGAGAAAAUCCCUUUUUUUGAGUUUUCCUGCUUGGACUGGGCCCUAAGAACAGAAUGCAGACAUGUAUCUGGCUGCCUAGUACAGUUGGUACAGGACUCAGGAAAGGCUUAGAGAGUGCUGCUUGGUCUGGUAGUCUGGAGAAGGAAGAUCCCAGCCUCUUAACUGACACGUGAGGGAAGCAGUCUCAUGAGGAAGCAGUGAAUGCUCUAUCUCUUUGAGGAUUCAAACAGGGCAGGUGAGCUGGGUAUGGUGGCACAUGCAUGUAAUUUCAGCAUUCUGGGAAGCUGAGGCAGGAGGCUUGUAAGUUUGAGCCCAGCCUGGAUAACAUAGCAAGACCCUGUCUCAAAUUUAAAACUAAGAAAAAAGACUAGGAAUGUAGCUGACUGUGAAGGCCUUGGGUUCAAUCCCCAGUACAUUUACUCAGUUCAGCUCCUAGUCUAUGUCAGACCCUGGGCUUGGGGCUUGGACUACAGUGGUGAGUGACAAACAACUGUGCCAUUGGAGGAACCUAGUCUUGAAAGAGGAGACCAGACACACACAAUUAGUAUACAUGCCUGGCACAGGGUACAGGGGUGAGGCUGGGUGGAGCAGAAAGCCACAUCCUGGCCCUAUAGUUUGCACCUUGGAAUAGAGUGAUAGAGUGGAUGGUUUCACAUUCCUGUGCCCCAGGGACGGUCACAGCACCUUGGAAGUCCUCAUGUUAAAUCCACGUUGGAUUAGCUGGUUUCCAAGCCUGUCUCCACUCCAAGAUUCUUGGACUCCUGGUCUGUGUCCAUGGCUUGCUCACUGUGGGACCCUCCGAAGGAGAGGAGGUGCCCCCAGCUCACUGCACAGUGCCGCUUUAUCACAGCAUGUACAGUCCACACCAAAGCUGCACCGAGUCCAUGGCGAGGACCGCAGAUGGGGCUGUUCAUAUCCUCGGGAACAAAGGCGAGAUUCCUCCACAGUGAGGAAUCUACUUUGGGAGAGGGUGGUUGGUCUGACUCUCUUAUGGUUCUUGGUUUUUUAGGAGUGAAGAGCAGCCCACUGAACCCCGCUAAACCUCCUUCUCUUACCCUCUCCCCCCGUUUGGUGUUGCUGAGGAUUGAAUCCAGGGCCUCUCUGCACAAGUGCGUCACUGCUGAGCUGUACAUCCCAGCCAAGAAGCAGUUUUGCAGGGAUGGAGAGGAGGGAGAAGAAGGGAAGGCAAGAAAAAAAGAAGUAUGUCAUAUAAAUGUACCAGCUUCUCACAAUGAAUGCAAUCAUUAUGGACUACAAGCAUGU
Molecule: long non-coding RNA, 2906 nt
Filed under: Heterocephalus glaber (naked mole-rat)
Lineage: Eukaryota; Metazoa; Chordata; Mammalia; Rodentia; Bathyergidae
Description: lncRNA (ENSHGLG00100047445.1)
Source: RNAcentral